CAAUAGCUAGAAGGGCAUCUCCCUUACACUGAGAAGACAUCCGUGCGAAUCGGAUCGCCCUGA
Molecule: transfer RNA, 63 nt
Filed under: Melanostigma atlanticum
Lineage: Eukaryota; Metazoa; Chordata; Actinopteri; Perciformes; Zoarcidae
Description: tRNA-Val
Source: RNAcentral